RNAcentral lists this long non-coding RNA (2899 nucleotides) under Marmota monax (woodchuck). The record is from RNAcentral. Lineage: Eukaryota; Metazoa; Chordata; Mammalia; Rodentia; Sciuridae.
GUUUUGCUGUGGUUGCUGUUGUUGGUUGAGCCUGAAGCUAUUAAAUGAUUAACUUUCCUUAUCUUUUCUCCUCUCAGUACUCCUGAAGGACAAAUUGGCAGCAAAAAUGGCACCACAGCUUUUGCCACAAUGGGAGGCAACGUCACCAGCUAUGGCAGUAUAAGAAGAAGGCACCCUUAACUUUAAACAUCAGCAGCUUGGCGUCAGCAUCACCAGCAGGUGGGGUAUAGACUGGGAGAGGUGCCCAUGAGAGCUACGGAGGGGUUCUCUUUGGUGGGCACCAGCUGUGCUCUUCCCUUGGGACAGAUCCACCAUUUUAGGCUCAGAGAGCAACAAGAGACAUCAUUUUCGGACACAUGGCUGCAGGUAACAGAAACCUCGCCUGAGCUAACUUACACAGAGAGUUUAUUGAAAGGAGACUAAGAAAUCUCAUGGACUUCCAGGGCAGGAACACAGCUGGCUGGGCAUGAGAACUGAAGCUGGGUGUGUAGUAUUUGGUGGAUCCAGAAGUCCUCAUUCCUCUUUGCUCAUCUCCGGGAGUCUACUCCCCUCCUGCUCUUGGUCUCUGUGUUGGAGUUCUCCAUUUUCCCAGCCUCCAAGCCAGAAAAUGUUUGCUUGACAGCUCCCAGGUUUGCAUGCUCCACCUAGACCCACAGACAGGCUGCUCCCUCUUUCUCACUCCUUGGCUCUAUUCCAGUUCUGAAAGUUCUUCAGAUGAUACUGUGUGGAUUGCUUUGGGCUUGCGGCUGGCCCUAUCAAUUGCUGGGGAACAGAAUGUUCUUUGGGGAAUACUGAAGCCCACUGCAGUCAUGUAGAGAAAAACAGGAAGGUCCUCCUACACAAGGUGCGCUGGUUGGAAAAUCAGUAAUUACUCCCCAACAGCACCCUGCCAAGAAGCUGAUACUGGAAAGAAAACUGGUGACCUGUGCUCAGUAACCUAGAGAUUGAAUUUAAUGUGACAUCUGCUAGCAACGCCCAAAACUACAUGAAAGGAGUUUGAAGAAUUCUAAAGCUGCUAUGAGACUUACACUAUAAGAGCCUGCGAAAUAUGAAUGUGGACUGAUCCACCUACUUAAUUCUUAUGCACUCAUCAGUGUGCCCAGGAAAUACGUGCCACAGCAAGAAGCAUCUGUCAGAUUCCACCCACUAUCCUUAACACUGAUUAGAAGCAACUCCUUUCACCCCUCACCUUGAGAGCCUGUGGUAGAGUAGGGUACAGCAACUGACUACCACAGUCAGCACACAAUCAGCACACUUUCCUCUAACAUCGGGCUCUUCAAGACCAUCUGGUCACACUCAGGGAACACUUGAGAGGCAGCAUAUCUGGUGCCCCAUAUAUUCAUCAAUAUUUUUUUUUUAAUUUUUUAUUGUUGGUUGUUCAAAACAUUACAAAUUUCUUGACAUAUCAUAUUCCACACUUUGAUUCAAGUUCAUCAAUAUUUUUUGAAAAAAAAAUUAUUAUGAAGUGAUUUUAGAGUUAUAGAAAAAAUGCAACAGAGAGUUCCCAUUUACCCCUCAGCCCAACUUAACCUCUUAACUGGCUACAAUAAAACUAUCAAAAUCAGGAAAUUAACACUGGGACAACACUAUCAAUUCAACUACGGACUGUGUCUCAAUUUCAAUGGAUUUUCCACCAAUAACAUUUUUCUCUUCAGAAUCCUGUUCAGGAUUCCACAUUGCAUUUAAUUUUUUCUCCUUAAACUCUAAUCUGUAAAAGCCUCUGCCCUCCUCCCCCAAUUUUGUUUUGGCAAGCUGGCUAUUUUGAAGAGCAGAUAUUUUGCAGACUGUGCCUCAAUUUUGAUUUGUCGGAUCAAACCCAUGAUUUUGCCAAGAAUAUAACUGAGAUGUUGUGCACCGGACAGUGGGGUUCAUGGUGUUCCUAGGUCUUUUGUUGGUGACGUUAGCGGGACCUGGUGAAGGCGGUGCCUCUUGGGAUUGUCUUCUACUGUAAAGUCAUUUUUCAGAGAACAUAGUAAUAUUGUGGUUAAUAAAUCGAUUGGGAGUGAUACUCUCAAAGAAUGCAAAUCUUGUUCUUUCUCAGACUUUUGCCCUCUGUACCUUUAACAUUCAUCAGCAGAUCCAGAGCAGCAAUCAUUACUAUAGUAUUUAACUAACGGUGAAUCUCUAUUUCCCUCUUUUCCUUUAUAUUUUUCAAUUGGAAUUCUACUGUAAGGAAGAACUGUCUUGUUCUGUUUCCCUUAUUUGUUUAUUAAUUGAUUAUUUAUAUCAGUAUGGAUUCAUGAAUUUUGAUCUUUCUAUGGGUUACAAUCUUAUACUAUUGUUAUUUUUAAAUUAAAAAAUUUUAACUCACGUUGUUACAGUUUGAUCAUUAGGAACUCCUUGGGAAGGUUUCUGAACCAGGAAAAAAGCUUCCUUUGGGCUGGGGGUACAGCUCAGUGGUAGAGCACUUGCCUAGCAUGAACAAGGCCCUGGUUCAGUUCCUAGCACUGCAAAAUAAAUGAUCUUGUUUUGCAUUGAAGCCUUACCAUUUGCUGGUUGUGUGGCAUUAAGCAACACACUAAACAUUUCUAUGAUAAUCAUCUGCAGGUUGUUUGUAAUAACAGGUAUGUGAAGGGUGAGGAUCAACUUAGGCAAUGAGCAUAGUGUUUGCAACAGAAUCUUCUCUUAACUGUCUUGAUCCAGCCAAUCCAAUAAGCAUCCAUGUGUGAAACAUGUUUUCUCUAAUGAAAGAGUUCUCAGAACAAAGCAUGCAUCUUGAGGACAAAGGUAAAAUCUGUGACUUCCUGAAGCAUUCUGAGGUAAAACUUGCAGUAUGUGCACUUAGAAGACUCUAUCUUUCUGCUAAGUGCUGGGAAGCAGGCUGUCUGAAAUAACCGAGUUAGGGCGUCCCCAACCCCAACACUUAUACUAAGUUCUUGAAAGUGGAAUUCUCCUUUUA